This 799-nucleotide ribosomal RNA is filed under the name uncultured archaeon. RNAcentral describes it as "bacterial SSU rRNA". It matches the Rfam family "Archaeal small subunit ribosomal RNA", at positions 85 to 879 of the family's 1478-position model. The record is from RNAcentral.
ACGGCUCAGUAACACGUGGAUAACCUGCCCUUGGGACCGGCAUAACCCCGGGAAACUGGGGAUAAUUCCGGAUACCGCAUAUAUGCUGGAAUGCUUUAUGCGUGAAAUGGAUUCGUCUGCCCAAGGAUGGGUCUGCGGCCUAUCAGGUAGUAGUGGGUGUAAUGUACCUACUAGCCUACAACGGGUACGGGUUGUGAGAGCAAGAGCCCGGAGAUGGAUUCUGAGACAUGAAUCCAGGCCCUACGGGGCGCAGCAGGCGCAAAAACUUUACAAUGCGGGAAACCGUGAUAAGGGGACACCGAGUGCCAGCAUCAUAUGCUGGCUGUCCAGGUGUGUAAAAUACACCUGUUAGCAAGGGCCGGGCAAGACCGGUGCCAGCCGCCGCGGUAACACCGGCGGCCCGAGUGGUGAUCGUGAUUAUUGGGUCUAAAGGGUCCGUAGCCGGUUUGGUCAGUCCUCCGGGAAAUCUGACAGCUCAACUGUUAGGCUUUCGGGGGAUACUGCCAGACUUGGAACCGGGAGAGGUAAGAGGUACUACAGGGGUAGGAGUGAAAUCUUGUAAUCCCUGUGGGACCACCUGUGGCGAAGGCGUCUUACCAGAACGGGUUCGACGGUGAGGGACGAAAGCUGGGGGCACGAACCGGAUUAGAUACCCGGGUAGUCCCAGCCGUAAACGAUGCCCGCUAGGUGUCACGACGGUCGUGAAUCGUCGUGGUGCCGUAGGGAAGCCGCGAAGCGGGCCACUUGGGGAAGUACGGGCCGCAAGGCUGAAAACUUAAAGGAAUUGGCGGGGGAGCAC